Molecule: long non-coding RNA, 8965 nt
Organism: Sarcophilus harrisii (Tasmanian devil)
Lineage: Eukaryota; Metazoa; Chordata; Mammalia; Dasyuromorphia; Dasyuridae
Source: Ensembl
UUUUUGGGGUGUCAUCUCUUUAAUAUAUAAUUUUAUUUCUGGUUAUAGAAACAAAUGCUAAGAGGAGAAGCAAAACUUCUCCCAACCACAUACAUCAAUUUUAGAUAACAGAUAACAGAACAGUUAAAAUAAAUGAAAAAAAAAAAAAAGUAGAAAUUUUAAACUUUGUUAUAGCUUUAAAACAUUAACGUCUGAUACAAUUAGAAAUCACAUUCAGAUCUCAAAUUACUUUAAAAAAAAGUAUGGCUCCUUAUAAAAAAAAAAAAUACUGUAUCCCAUUUGAAAUGAAAACACAGGUCUAACCUUAGAUGCUGGUUUUUCCAUCUUUAUGAUAGUCCUUUUUCCUCACCACCCUGUUAGCUGGUUUUUACAUCUUUCUUAGUUUCCCACAAUUCAUAUAAACAGACCAGUUUGUUUUUCCCCCCACAGAUAGUGAGACAUUACAAUAUGACCUAAAAUUUACAUCCAAUGCCAUAGACCCAAGCUCCCACUUUACAGAGACACCACCUGCUUUUUAAAGCACUGAUUAUCAAACAAGUUGUGAAAAACACUUUAAACAGCCACUGUAAAAAAAACAACAACAACAAAAAACACACACACAUAUGCACACAUUCUCACACUCAAAAGUAUCUUUACAUGUUUGGAUAAGAAAAAAACAAACAAAUAAAAGCUGGCUUUAUCUUAUCCAUUCCCUUAAAUUAAGUGCCAAACACUCAGGCAGAGGAAGAGACUCUAUAUGUAGCAUCUCUUUAGUCAUUAAGGGAUAUUUGAGAUUCUGUUUUCUUGAAUUUAGCCAAGCCCAUAAAGAUAUUCUGAAAUCUACAAUUUUUUUUUCUUUCAUCUAGUCUUUUGUGAUAAAGAAAAUAAUGCACAUAAAAGGAGAGAAAAUUUGAGAAAACUGCCUUUCUUGAAAAACAAAAAAAGUUUUUUAAUUUAAAAAGUUCUUCCAAAUGUAUUUAAGAUGCUUAAUAUCUAAACCAAGUAAUUUUACUGGUUAGAGAAUAAUGCUACUGAAUCUAAGGUCAUAUGUUCCGGUAGAAAAAAGAACAACUUUACUUAAUAGCCAGCCACUGACUUCAAUAACUUCAGUAGGCUCACACUUUGUGCCAUACGUCAUAAAGGCUAAUGAUUGAGAGAGUAUGGCUGGUUCAAUAUACCCCAUCACAACAAAUGGAAACUCACUGCCAAAGUGCACCAUGGACAGACCCGUGUGUCAGAAGCCUCUUUGCAUAUAAGAACAUCAAACACUUAACACAAUGAACUCUCAUCUUCUGAAUGUAGCUGAUACACAUAUAGCUAUAUAUCUUACUAAAACACAUUUGAAAAUGCCUAUGCUGCCAGAGUAAAGAAGCAUUCCAGAAUUCAGAAAUGUUUUAGCUUCUUUAAAAAAGCAAAACCAAACCAAAACUUUUCCACCUAUUAGUUUAAAAAUAAAGGUCAUCUUUGUAUGGUAAUUACCAUUUUACAUUUCAGAAACAUUACAAUAGUCCUGAUUUUUUAUGAAUUCAUUUUCAGAACUCCUGUGUCAUCAUCUGAAUAUGGCUAAUAUGCUACAAGGUAAGACAUCAAGAAGUAACUGGUUGACUUCUCAGUAAAGUAGAAUGGGACAACUCAGUUUGAUUUAUCCUAAAGCUACUAAAAGCUUGUAAGCUUGUCUGUAACAAGAGAAUAGAAAAACUAAUCAUUUUUGAAAAUGGCACUUCUCCCAUAAAAUCAAGGAAGUGGCUUUAAACUGAAAAUUUUUUUCCUAAAGUGCUGGAGAAAAAAUUGGUAUGGCCAUUGUUUAAAGGGAUGAGAAAGAUAUGUGGAAAUGCCCAAAACUAACUAAAUCCUAGGAAAAGAUUUUAAUUGGGUUUCUGGAAGAAAUACAACGAAAAUGCUUGAAAGUCUUUCUAUCCCUACUGGAAAAGUUCCUCACUCUUAUGAGUAUGCCAAGUUAGUUAAAACUUCUCCAAACAUCAUAAAAUGAAAUUUAUACUCAAAGGGUCAGAAAUGCAAUAAAAAUGCUAAUUACACAAAACAUUUUAAAUGAUUAGCUUUAGGGGAAAACAUCACAGACAAAUUAAACUUCAGGGAUAGAUUUCAGUCUCUCCAGGAAAGAAAAGGAAAUAGAAAUAUCACUUGGAGUAGUUGCUCUUAUAACUGCCAAGUCAUAUUUUCUGAGUAGAACUAUAACAUCCUGUUUAUAGUUUGCAUGUAAAUUCAGAUGCACAAACACCUAGUUUUUCAAUAUUAAUUAACCCUGCUAUCCUUUCUUAACUUUUGAAUGUACUUUUCAUUUGUCAUCAUCAGAAGGAACCAGGAAAGACUAUUUCAACAAUUAUGAAUUUCAGUGAUAUGGUAUAAAAAAAUAAUCUAAAGGGACCCUAGGACUCAGCUAUUCCAAAAGUGCAUUCUCUUUUUUCUCUCCAUGUCACUUUAUAGGAGAUAUGAAUUUGAAGGAUGGUUAUAAAAUCUCUCCCAUUAGAAACAUAGCUUAUAUAUCCAGGAUUAUAUGGAAUAAAGGGAAACAAGGGGAUCUCUAUUGGGUCAAGGAGAUACAAAGGGACAAACAAUAUAGUCCUAUUAGAUAAGAGAAAGGAUAAAGUUACUGGACACAAAAGUCUUAAGGACAAUAUCAGCUCAAUUCUCCAUUCCCUAAACUAUAUAUACUCUAUAUAUUACAUUCUCCUAGGAUUAGUGCCUGGUUUUCAUAUCUAUUUGUAUAAAAGAAAUGUAAAGUACCAUUUACAUGCAAAGGGUAUACUAAUACAAACAUAUACAUCAUAUUUUAUAUACAUAUAUUUGCAUAUAUGUAUAUGUGUAUGUGUGUAUACAUACACAUGUAUGUUUAUCAAUGUGUUUAAAAAGAGAAUCUAGAACAUAAAUGUGAGGGAAUUUAUUUUCUGUUCUUUUAAUGAAUUCAUGGCUUGUUUCUGAAUAAAGGGGGUUAGGUUAGGAAAGGGACGUUAGAAGAUCCUUAUAUCUUUCCCAGCAGCAAGAUUUUAAAUAAAGUUAUUAAAAAAAAAAAUCUCCUUUCUUCAAUCUGAGACUUCCAACACCACAUCCUAAAUAAAUUAAUGCCUUUAAAAAAUUAAAUCAAAAUUAUACCUCAAAUUUUCUCUUUAGCUUAAGGAAUUGCUUUCCCAACAUGCCCAGUGAAAUGGCUAUUUCAGUGUGCAGGUAAGAGGGAACCUUAAUGGUUAGGUAAUGAACACCAUUCUUCCAAGUAAUUGGGAUGGAAAUUUUGCUAUAACUGUACUGUGCUAAAUAGGAUCCUUGAGGCAGAUGUAAUGUGCCAUGAAACAAGCAGAGAAGACCCAACAGCUGCUUCAGUGAAGUCAAAUAGAUACAUGAGAGGAGUUACUUAAUGGAUGUUGAUCCAAAGAAAGCGAUAUCCUGACCAAACUCCCCCAAACUGAAGCAGGAGCCUGGGAUGUGAGGUACACUCAGGGAGCAUAGGCAUUGUCUCCCUGCAUGAAAUUAUACACCACAAUGGAGAAUUCUUGUAAUGCAACAUUUCUAAGUUAUUUACUGACCACUAAAUGUAGUAAUGUUUCAUUUUAUCUGAAGAUAAAAUCUAGAAAGUUGUCGUAUCAAACUGAGAAGAGAUACAAUGAACAGUAAGGAUGAACAGAACCAUAUCCUGAGCAUUAAAAAACAAAAACAAAAACCUGAUACUGAAAAAAAGUUAUGGGGAAAGAACUCUUAAUGAGUGUCAUAAAUAUAAGGGCAAAAUUCAGAAAUAGUGGGAAGUAGAAAAACAAAGUGAUUCUGAUUAAGUCAAGACACUUCCUCUGGAAGUUUAUUUAACCUUUAUCUCAAGAUUAAAUGAAUCUCUGAAGCACUCGUGUCCAAUGUAUAUAACAAUUUGGUCUCUGUAGCAGCAAGAAAACUAAAAUGCUUAUUAAAUAGCAUUGUUCCUAGGUGAUACUAAAGACUAUUCACAAUAAGGUUAUAGCUAAAAAUUCUCAUAAGAAAAAACACUAAAUUGUGGAUUAAAUAAACUAGGGCUUUAAUUUCUAUUUAUGUAUCAUUGAGGUAUAACCCAAGACAAUGAUGAUGACACCAUUUAUCAUUCAUAUAGCCUUUAUAUUUGCAAAGUGUUUUACAAUCAUUUUGGCCAGUCAUUAAUAAUGCUCUCUUUAGCAGAGAGGUACAAGAAACAGACAUAUGCACAAUGGUUGUUUUAAAAUAUUUUUUAAAAAAUAUCCAGAGGGUACAGAAUUUUCCUAAAGUAGAUAUUCUCUCAGAGGAAGAGAGGCAAACAAGAUGCUUUUUUGGUUCAAAUUCUGCUUGUUUAAUAACUAAUAGAAAGAAGACUCUUCUAAUGCUUUUCCACAUUUAGCCAAAAUUUGUAUGAAAGGUAAUGAUAUGAAACCUGCUGUGGGUUUCAAUUAAUAUGACUACAAAGUAAAAAUACUUAUAACAUUUUAGAAAAUACAAAACAAAAAGGCUCUUAUCAGAACUCUCCAAAUUACCACAACUUAUGCUGAAUAAAAAGGAUGUAAGGAAAACUAAGUUUCUACUAAAACCAGUUGAUCCCACACACCACACUCUGAAAUGUCAACUUCAUGGUAGUCUUUUAAUUAUUUUGAAGAAAUAACAAAAGUCAGAUGAAAUCCCAUUCCACUCUGCCCAAAAAAUACUCCAAUGACAAUUAAUGGAAUAUGUCUCGUGGCCUUACGACUUAACAAAGUUGUCAUGCAAAAUGCUUGUACACCCAUAUAGUAGUCUAAACAACAACGUCACUUAUUUUGAAUAGUAUAAGCAUGCAAGCAUAAUGAUUGUGAUAUUCCUUUCACUUCUAAAAUUUUUCUUUUGCUGUUUUAUUUAUUGGAGGAGGGGAGAAAGAAAAGGGUGGGUGGUAAAUGAUAGAAAAAAGGCUCAGUAAGCACUUAAAAUCAAUCACAAAACCACCUGCCCUCAGGAAAAUUGACAGGACAUUAUUCCAGAAGUAGAAGUCACUAUUCAUUCUACAUUUUCUUUAUUCCCAUCUAUUAGUUGGAAAUGCUUCCAAUCUCUUCUCUGAGAAAUGGAUUUAGAUCACCUUAAAAUGCAAUUCAUCCAAGGGGUAAAGCUACCACUAAACAGUAGACAAAUUUGAAAGUACUAGUUACUAUUGUAAUGGAUAUGACAGAGAAACAAACACUUAUAAGAAGAAAAAGUGUGUUUGGAACACUAUUUUGGUAAAUUUCAAUGAUUUUGUUUUUUUAAACUAAGGCAGUUCUCCCAAUUUGGAGGACGGGGGAGAUAUUUUUUUUUUCCCCAAACCAAAUGAGGGAAUAUGUGUGUAUGUGAGUGUGUGUAAAAUUUAAAUAUAUAUAUACAUACAUGUUUAUUUAAAGAACUCAGAUAAAAUAAGAGAAUGAUGCAUCUGAGUUCCCAACAGUCAUUUAAAUUAUAUUUUAUAUUCUGCUUAGAGGAAAAAGAAUUGAGAUUUGGGCAAAAUGUUCUAAUAGUUUAAAAAAAAUCACUGAGUGGGGGAAAAAAAAAGAAUGUUUUUUGUUCUGAUACAAUAGAUGGAUAUUGUUCUGAUAGAAAGAGGUAAACUCAUGGGACAAAACAUUAGAUUAGUAAACUCCUUGAGGUUAAGAAUUUAUAUUUCUUCUGUAUCUCCCCACAGUGCUUAGUAUAAUGCUCUAUCAUGUGUAGAUUCAAUAAAUAAUAACAUAAAAUUACUGACCUUUGGUGCUUAACAUUAAUCACAUAUUGAUUACUGAAGCAUAACCUUUGGUUGUGAUGCCUUUAAUAAUAAAAGAAGAUAGGUGAUAAGUUUCUACAAAUUGAUAUCCAAAUACCAACACACAGUUAAAAAUUGUCUACCAACUGUUCUAAGGGCUUGUCAAUUGUGAAGAACUGUUCUUAAAUAUUCCAACAUCACCACAAAAUACAUUUAAGGAAAAUAAAGAGGAGAAUGAAUACAUUUAAGCUAACUGGUAGAAUUCUUUUUGGAGGAAGGAGAGAGGGGUGUGUGUGUGUGUGUGUGUGUGUGUGUACACACUUUAUUUAAGUAUGUUUUCCUGGAUUCUUAAAAAUUAAAAGUUCUUUAUAUGUAAAUUUCCUGCUUUCUUUUCAGAUUGGAAGCAAAGAAGGGGAGCCAUAAAGGGCAAGAGGCAAAUGUGUACACAUGUACCCGAAUGAAAAAAAGACAAAGAUCAGAUGAAUUCCAGAAUUGGAGCAGCACUUAUUAAACACAUUUAGAUAUACACUAUUUUUUCCCUGCCUCAAUCCCAAAUGAUAAAAGGUUCCUUCCAGGAAUUUCUAAAGCCACCACACAUCCCACUUUGGCAUUUCUGCCCGAUAUCUUUGCCACAAAUACUGGCUUAGAAGAUAUAAGGCAGUUGUUUCCUGCCUAUAAUCUAAACCUUUCUAAAGUUAUCAUAAAAUAAAAAAGAUUUUGUACAGGUAAUGAUUUCCCCAAUGCCAAACACUUUUCUCCUGACCUCUUUCCUUUUUAUUUCCUUCACCAUGCAAUUCUUACAGAAGCUUAAGGUGCUAAAAAUCUCAAGGGGAAAUUCCUUUCAUUGAAAAUCUGUUUUUCUCUUACCCUUCUCACCAUCUUUUUCCCUUCUAGUUGUGGACCAACCAUUACUAAGACUAAAUUUGUACAGAUAAAGCAGAUAAAAUAAACUAUGGGAGCAAUAAGUUCAUAUGAAGCAAAAGACAGAAACAAAAACAGUUAAAAAUAAUACAUAAGCUACCAUUUUCUUCUAACCUCUCAACAUGAGUGUUCUCUGAAGAAAAUCUCAACUUGGAAAGGAGAAAAAUCUGUGAUAGCCAUGCUAACUGAAGAUCAAAUAUAGCUCCCACCACCUUAAGCCCUUUUCAUCUCCUAGGCUAUAUAUAAGAAAUACUUAGAACGAACAAACACCAAUUACAGAUGAUUAAAAAAGCAAUUGGUGGCCCUAAAAAUUCACUAAUUACAGAUCCACUAACCUGAACAAGGCCCUGGCUUUAUUAGUAACUGAAGUUGUUAGUGCAGAAUGAAACCUGCCUGAUAGCAAUUAAUUCACCACUCAUCCUUUUUUCAUUCUCUUUGUCACCAGUCUAAUAUUUCUCUGUCUCUCUCUCUCUCUCUCUCUCUCACACACACACACACACACACACACACACACACACACAAAUUUAAGAAAAUGGAAGUGUGGAAUAGAGCAUAAUUUAUCAUCAUUAAAGGUGGGGAAAGUAUCUCUGAGAACAACAUUGCUGGUUAUCUCAUUUCCACUGCUCUGAAACUUUUUUCAUAUUUAAUAUUGCAUGGAUGUCAAUAAAAUUUUUGUGGCUGUGGUACCUUUUUAAAAUUUAGUCACAUAUACAUUUUUUUUUCCUUUAUUGGGCAAAACUGAGCAUUUCAUAAAGGGCUCAGUAAUUUUUUUUUUUUAAGAGGAGCCAGUUCCCUCUGAUCCUGACCGAAGAGAACACACAACAGUGUAAAGGGCAUUUGUGGCAGAGCUAUUUUUCCUUAGUGUCUCUCUUAACAGAUCAUCUUCCUCUUAAAUCUCUGAAUUAAAUUUCAAUGGGUUCUGACUGCAAAUUGUUAGUCUCUAAAGUGGACUUAAUGCCCAUUGUUUUAAAUAUAUUUUUUAAAAAGUUAAUUCUUUUGUUUUAAAGAAGAAAAUUACAGGUUAGUUCCUAAUUCCUAUGAAAUUUUCUUGUCUUUGUCUCAUAUUUUAUGGGGAAGUUUUGAACACUAUUGCAGUUUUUCUAACAGGGCUUAUAGAGAUGACCCAAAUCUUAAGACAAUAAAUUGGUUGGAGGAAGGGAAAGAAAAAGAAAAAACAUUUCCUGAUACUUCAGUUUUGUGUACAGCAUUUUUUUCUCCUCAUGAUAACUAUUAGGAGAAACAGCAUCAAAAUAUUUAGCAAAUUAAGAUACUUUUCUAACAGAAGCAUUCCUUCAUCUCUCAUGCACACUGCUCAGGAAAACAGAUCGAUAAAAUCUGAACAGAUGAUAACAUUCCAUAUGUUUCUACCUCUUUUCAACAUUCCUGAUAUGGCUGAAACUGCCAACUGUACAAGUUUAGAAGACAUUUUCCAAAGGAAGAUAAAUUUAUUAUACUGAAGCACUUUGUUUGCUUCCCAUCUUUAGAAAACACUUUUCUUUCCUUCUUUCUUUUUAGCCACAAAGCAAAUUCAGGCAGGGUGAUUUAAUCCUGGGAGAAGAUGAAUACCAUUAAGCAACCUCAUUAUUUGGGAAGGUAGUUUCCAUUACCUUGAAUUGACCCCAAAGAUUUUGGUCUUUUAGAUAAAGGAAAUAUUUUUGAACUGCAAUGAUAAGUUGUGAAACAAAAUUGGAAAUGGGUAAAAUUUAAAUAAAAAAGAUUAAGAUUAUAAAACUGCAUCCAGCUAUGCUGAGAAUAUCAAGUCUUACAUUAGGUCAUGGGGAGAACAAUUCAAUUUUUUGUGAAACAUCUGAGAAAUCUCUGCUCCAUUUUCUUUCACAUCAAGUGAGCCACAUAGUUCUGUCUAUGAACAUCUAGCUAUAAUGGAACAUUACUACUAAUGCAGUGAAGACAGCACAGAGACUCAGUUCUGAUUAACAUUCACUCCAAAUACUAAAAUCUGUAUAUAUUGUUAUAAUGUAGUUCAUCAGCUUUUCACCAAUCUUCCAACCAAAGGACUUGGAUCAGUUCUGAGGCAAAUACAUGUUCUAAUACAAGAAGCUAUCAAAAUUUCCCCUAACAUGACAUUAACAGUUAUAGCUGUGGAUUAACUCCAUGGUGUGAUUAAUGCAUGCAUCAUGCAUGUAAAAUUAAAAACAAAAACAAAAAAGGGGGCGAGACAUUCCCUCAACUUUUGUCCAAGAUGCAUAUAGGCUUAGCUUAAAAACAGAUGGUACAAGUCUGAACAAAAAGCAAGAAACAUUGUGGUGUCAAAACCAAACCAGUUAAAAAUAAUACUAAUAUCAAUACCUUCUCUUUUGCCUUUCUAUGAAAAAAGACAUUUAUGAAAUAACAAAUUGGUCAAUUUCUGUUGUUCUACCCCCU